UGAUAAGAAAGGGAAUAAAACCCCUGUAAAUAGGACUACAGCCUACCGCCUGACACUCGGCCAUCUUACC
RNAcentral lists this transfer RNA (70 nucleotides) under Pseudopus apodus (scheltopusik). Its description in RNAcentral is "tRNA-Tyr". Lineage: Eukaryota; Metazoa; Chordata; Lepidosauria; Squamata; Anguidae. The record is from RNAcentral.